GUGGGGAUAGCUCAACGGUUAGAGUAUAAACUUGAAAAGUUUACCGUAAAGGUUCAAUUCCUUUUCCCCACA
Molecule: transfer RNA, 72 nt
Filed under: Planoprotostelium fungivorum
Lineage: Eukaryota; Evosea; Variosea; Cavosteliida; Cavosteliaceae
Description: tRNA-Phe
Rfam family: tRNA
About the family: Transfer RNA (tRNA) molecules are approximately 80 nucleotides in length. Their secondary structure includes four short double-helical elements and three loops (D, anti-codon, and T loops).
Source: RNAcentral